Non-coding RNA from Aeromicrobium sp. Leaf289, 43 nucleotides. The record is from Rfam. NCBI's taxonomy places the organism in Bacteria, Bacillati, Actinomycetota, Actinomycetes, Propionibacteriales, Nocardioidaceae.
UUGGUCCUGGUUCACGGCCCGCGCCGCGGUCCGACCCAGUACC